UACGUAGGGUGCAAGCGUUGUCCGGAAUUAUUGGGCGUAAAGAGCUCGUAGGCGGUCUGUCGCGUCGAAUGUGAAAACCCGGGACUCAACUCCGGGCCUGCAUUCGAUACGGGCAGACUAGAGUUCGGUAGGGGAGACUGGAAUUCCUGGUGUAGCGGUGAAAUGCGCAGAUAUCAGGAGGAACACCGGUGGCGAAGGCGGGUCUCUGGGCCGAUACUGACGCUGAGGAGCGAAAGCGUGGGGAGCAAACAGGAUUAGAUACCCUGGUAGUCCACGCCGUAAACGUUGGGCGCUAGGUGUGGGGAUCCUUCCACGAUCUCUGUGCCGCAGCUAACGCAUUAAGCGCCCCGCCUGGGGAGUACGGCCGCAAGGCUAAA
RNAcentral lists this ribosomal RNA (377 nucleotides) under uncultured bacterium. RNAcentral describes it as "bacterial SSU rRNA". It matches the Rfam family "Bacterial small subunit ribosomal RNA", at positions 524 to 898 of the family's 1533-position model. The record is from RNAcentral.